Molecule: ribosomal RNA, 505 nt
Filed under: uncultured bacterium
Lineage: Bacteria
Description: partial 16S ribosomal RNA
Rfam family: Bacterial small subunit ribosomal RNA
Source: RNAcentral
GACGAACGCUGGCGGCGUACCUAAUACAUGCAAGUGGGACCCAAGGAAACACACUGUGCUUGCACACCGUGUUUUCUUGAGUCGCGAACGGGUGAGUAACGCGUUGGUAACCUGCCUAUUAGCGGGGGAUAACUAUUGGAAACGAUAGCUAAUACCGCAUAAUAUUAAUUAUUGCAUGAUAAUUGAUUGAAAGAUGCAAGCGCAUCACUAGUAGCUGGACCUGCGUUGUAUUAGCUAGUUGGUAAGGUAAGAGCUUACCAAGGCGACGAUACAUAGCCGAGCUGAGAGGGUGAUCGGCCAAACUGGGACUGAGACACGGCCCAGACUCCUACGGGAGGCAGCAGUAGGGAAUCUUCGGCAAUGGACGAAAGUCUGACCGAGCAACGCCGCGUGAGUGAAGAAGGUUUUCGGAUCGUAAAGCUCUGUUGUAAGUCAAGAACGUGUGUGAGAGUGGAAAGUUCACACAGUGACGGUAGCUUACCAGAAAGGGACGGCUAACUACGUG